UGGUGAAGUUGUUUAUCAUCUUAAGGAGAUUGUGGGCUGAGACGAUGGGGUUUUCUAGAUAUACAAUCAUGUCAUCUGCAAACAGGGACAAUUUGACUUCCU
Molecule: long non-coding RNA, 102 nt
Organism: Nomascus leucogenys (northern white-cheeked gibbon)
Lineage: Eukaryota; Metazoa; Chordata; Mammalia; Primates; Hylobatidae
Exons: 3
Source: RefSeq, a predicted model, not a curated record